RNAcentral lists this ribosomal RNA (491 nucleotides) under uncultured bacterium. RNAcentral's name for it is "partial 16S ribosomal RNA". It matches the Rfam family "Bacterial small subunit ribosomal RNA", at positions 28 to 507 of the family's 1533-position model. The record is from RNAcentral.
GAUGAACGCUAGCGAUAGGCUUAACACAUGCAAGUCGAGGGGUAACGUGUUGGAAGCUUGCUUCCGAUGACGACGACCGGCGGAUGGGUGCGUAACGCGUAUGCAACUUGCCUCACAGUGGAGAAUAACCCGGAGAAAUCCGGACUAAUACUCCAUACACUCUUAAGUACGCCUGUACAUGAGAGGAAAGAUUUAUCGCUGUGAGAUGGGCAUGCGUCCUAUUAGGUAGUUGGUGAGGUAACGGCUCACCAAGCCGACGAUAGGUAGGGGUGCUGAGAGGCAGAUCCCCCACAUUGGGACUGAGACACGGCCCAAACUCCUACGGGAGGCAGCAGUGAGGAAUAUUGGUCAAUGGAGGAAACUCUGAACCAGCCAAGUCGCGUGAAGGAAGAAUGUCCUAAGGAUUGUAAACUUCUUUAGCGAGCGAGUAAGGACUUCAACGUGAUGGGAGUUUGAAAGUAGCUCGAGAAUAAGUAUCGGCUAACUCCGUG